This 440-nucleotide ribosomal RNA is filed under the name uncultured bacterium. RNAcentral's name for it is "partial 16S ribosomal RNA". It matches the Rfam family "Bacterial small subunit ribosomal RNA", at positions 338 to 795 of the family's 1533-position model. The record is from RNAcentral.
CCUACGGGAGGCAGCAGUGGGGAAUAUUGCACAAUGGGGGAAACCCUGAUGCAGCGACGCCGCGUGAGUGAAGAAGUAUCUCGGUACGUAAAGCCCUAUCAGCAGGGAAGAAAAUGACGGUACUUGACUAAGAAGCCCCGGCUAACUACGUGCCAGUAGCCGCGGUAACACGUAGGGGGCAAGCGUUAUCCGGAUUUACGGGGUGUAAAGGGAGCGGAGACGGGAGCAUAAGUCUGGAGUGAAAUUCCGGGGCUUAACCCCGGAACUGCAUUGGAAACUGUGCGGCUGGAGUGCAGGAGGGGGAAGCGGAAUUCCUAGUGUAGCAGUGAAAUGCGUAGAUAUUAGGAGGAACACCGGUGGCGAAGGCGGGUUACUGGACUGUAACUGACGUUGAGGCUCGAAGGCGUGGGGAGCGAACAGGAUUAGAUACCCCUGUAGUC